UACGGAGGGUGCGAGCGUUGUCCGGAAUUACUGGGCGUAAAGCGUGCGUAGGUGGUUUGUUAAGUCUGUUGUGAAAGCCCCGGGCUCAACCUGGGAAUGGCAAUGGAUACUGGCAGGCUAGAGUGCGGUAGAGGGUAGUGGAAUUCCCGGUGUAGCGGUGAAAUGCGUAGAGAUCGGGAGGAAGACCGGUGGCGAAGGCGGUCUGCUGGGCAGUUUCUGACACUGAGGCGCGACAGCGUGGGGAGCAAACAGG
RNAcentral lists this ribosomal RNA (253 nucleotides) under uncultured bacterium. Its description in RNAcentral is "partial 16S ribosomal RNA". It matches the Rfam family "Bacterial small subunit ribosomal RNA", at positions 524 to 776 of the family's 1533-position model. The record is from RNAcentral.